GAUGAACGCUGGCGGCGUGCCUAAUACAUGCAAGUAGAACGCUGAAGGAAGGAGCUUGCUCUUUCCGGAUGAGUUGCGAACGGGUGAGUAACGCGUAGGUAACCUGCCUGGUAGCGGGGGAUAACUAUUGGAAACGAUAGCUAAUACCGCAUAACAGUAGAUGUUGCAUGAUAUCUACUUAAAAGGUGCAAUUGCACCACUACCAGAUGGACCUUCGUUGUAUUAGCUAGUUGGUGAGGUAACGGCUCACCAAGGCGACGAUACAUAGCCGACCUGAGAGGGUGGUCGGCCACACUGGGACUGAGACACGGCCCAGACUCCUACGGGAGGCAGCAGUAGGGAAUCUUCGGCAAGGGACGGAAGUCUGACCGAGCAACGCCGCGGGAGUGAAGAAGGUUUUCGGAUCGUAAAGCUCGGUUGUAAGAGAAGAACGAGUGUGAGAGUGGAAAGUUCACACUGUGACGGUAUCUUACCAGAAAGGGACGGCUAACUACGUG
Molecule: ribosomal RNA, 497 nt
Filed under: uncultured bacterium
Lineage: Bacteria
Description: partial 16S ribosomal RNA
Rfam family: Bacterial small subunit ribosomal RNA
Source: RNAcentral